This 469-nucleotide ribosomal RNA is filed under the name uncultured bacterium. RNAcentral describes it as "partial 16S ribosomal RNA". It matches the Rfam family "Bacterial small subunit ribosomal RNA", at positions 28 to 507 of the family's 1533-position model. The record is from RNAcentral.
GACGAACGCUGGCGGCGUGCUUAACACAUGCAAGUCGAACGGAAAGGCCCUGCUUGCCGGGUGCUCGAGUGGCGAACGGGUGAGUAACACGUGGGUGAUCUGCCCCUUACUUUGGGAUAAGCCUGGGAAACUGGGUCUAAUACUGGAUAGGACCAUGCUGUAGGUGGUGUGGUGGAAAGAUUAGUUUCGGUAAGGGAUGAGCUCGCGGCCUAUCAGCUUGUUGGUGGGGUAAUGGCCUACCAAGGCGUCGACGGGUAGCCGGCCUGAGAAGGUGGACGGCCACAUUGGGACUGAGAUACGGCCCAGACUCCUACGGGAGGCAGCAGUGGGGAAUAUUGCACAAUGGGCGCAAGCCUGAUGCAGCGACGCCGCGUGGGGGAUGACGGCCUUCGGGUUGUAAACUCCUUUCAGCCAUGACGAAGCCCUUGUGGUGACGGUAGUGGUAGAAGAAGCACCGGCUAACUACGUG